GAGAGAGAGAGAGAGAGAGAGAGAGAUUUACAAUGAAUAUGAAUAACAGGUAUAAUUUAAAGUAAUUGAUCAGGGCAAAAAGUUAAGAUAAUCAGUAAAACUUGUGUAAGUGCACAACUUAGGCCGGUAGCAGCUGCUUAUCUUUGCCACCAUCACCUGGAAGGAAGCUCUGAUUGCUGACCACUCAGAGAAGGAUUUGAUGAAUUAGAAGGAAGAGGCCCAUUAUCUUGAGAGGAUGGCCCACCCCACUUGAGCUCCACAUCAGUUGGUUCAACCACAUGCACUGCACCAUCACUCAUGCCAA
RNAcentral lists this unclassified non-coding RNA (304 nucleotides) under Hevea brasiliensis (rubber tree). The record is from RNAcentral. Lineage: Eukaryota; Viridiplantae; Streptophyta; Magnoliopsida; Malpighiales; Euphorbiaceae.